This 252-nucleotide ribosomal RNA is filed under the name uncultured bacterium. RNAcentral describes it as "partial 16S ribosomal RNA". It matches the Rfam family "Bacterial small subunit ribosomal RNA", at positions 524 to 776 of the family's 1533-position model. The record is from RNAcentral.
UACGUAGGGUGCGAGCGUUGUCCGGAUUUAUUGGGCGUAAAGAGCUCGUAGGCGGCUUGUCGCGUCGGAUGUGAAAGCCCGGGGCUUAACUCCGGGUCUGCAUUCGAUACGGGCAGGCUAGAGUGUGGUAGGGGAGAUCGGAAUUCUGGUGUAGCGGUGAAAUGCGCAGAUAUCAGGAGGAACACCGGUGGCGAAGGCGGAUCUCUGGGCCAUUACUGACGCUGAGGAGCGAAAGCGUGGGGAGCGAACAGG